UGGGGAAUAUUGCGCAAUGGGCGAAAGCCUGACGCAGCAACGCCGCGUGAGUGAUGAAGGCCUUCGGGUCGUAAAGCUCUGUCGGAGGGAACGAAUGCUCUUGAGGUUAACAGCCUCGGGAGGUGACGGUACCCUCAAAGGAAGCACCGGCUAACUCUGUGCCAGCAGCCGCGGUAAUACAGAGGGUGCAAGCGUUGUUCGGAAUCAUUGGGCGUAAAGGGCGUGUAGGCGGUAUGUUAAGUCAUGUGUGAAAUCCCUCGGCUUAACCGGGGAACUGCAUCGGAAACUACUCUGCUGGAGUGCGAGAGAGGAAGGCGGAAUUCCCAGUGUAGAGGUGAAAUUCGUAGAUACUGGGAGGAACACCGGAGGCGAAGGCGGCCUUCUGGAUCGCAACUGACGCUGAGACGCGAAAGCGUGGGUAGCAAACAGGAUUAGAUACCCACGUAGUCCCUGAGCGGGCUGGCAAGGCGCAU
This 473-nucleotide ribosomal RNA is filed under the name uncultured bacterium. RNAcentral describes it as "bacterial SSU rRNA". It matches the Rfam family "Bacterial small subunit ribosomal RNA", at positions 355 to 825 of the family's 1533-position model. The record is from RNAcentral.